UACGAAGUUAGCCGGGGCUUCUUCUGUAGGUACCGUCAUUAUCUUCCCUACUGAAAGAGCUUUACAACCCUAAGGCCUUCAUCACUCACGCGGCAUGGCUGGAUCAGGCUUGCGCCCAUUGUCCAAUAUUCCCCACUGCUGCCUCCCGUAGGAGUCUGGGCCGUGUCUCAGUCCCAGUGUGGCUGAUCAUCCUCUCAGACCAGCUAAAGAUCGUCGCCUUGGUGAGCCAUUACCUCACCAACUAGCUAAUCUUACGCGGGCUCAUCUGAAACCGAUAAAUCUUUCCCCCGUAGGGCGUAUACGGUAUUAGCAGAAGUUUCCCUCUGUUGUUCCGUAGUUCCAGGUAGAUUCCCACGCGUUACUCACCCGUCUGCCACUCAUCUUGCGAUGCGUUCGACUUGCAUGUGUUAAGCCUGCCGCCAGCGUUCGUUCUGAGCCAGGAUCAAACUCU
RNAcentral lists this ribosomal RNA (451 nucleotides) under uncultured Devosia sp. RNAcentral describes it as "partial 16S ribosomal RNA". The record is from RNAcentral. Lineage: Bacteria; Pseudomonadati; Pseudomonadota; Alphaproteobacteria; Hyphomicrobiales; Devosiaceae.